This 420-nucleotide transfer-messenger RNA is filed under the name Alphaproteobacteria bacterium. It matches the Rfam family "Alphaproteobacteria transfer-messenger RNA". From Rfam's summary of the family: Bacterial tmRNA, also known as 10Sa RNA or SsrA, is named for its dual tRNA and mRNA-like properties. Its role is to liberate the mRNA from a stalled ribosome. The record is from RNAcentral. Lineage: Bacteria; Pseudomonadati; Pseudomonadota; Alphaproteobacteria.
UCACUGGCUUUUUCUGAUGCACAGCCCUAUAAUAAUAAUGUCGGCUUAGCGGCCGACUAUGAUGCUACACGCUGAUGCGGAAUAAGCGCUAUGGACCCGGGGGCAGUACCCGGCGGCUCCACCAUUUUAGCCUUCUGGUUUGCUUGAACAAGGCAGGCUAAGGCGGCGGGGCCGAAACAGGAUCGACAUGCGUAGUAAAGGUGUUAUGCGGCAUUCGGUUGGAUUUCCGCCGUUAUCGGAUCAAUUUUGAUAGUUGCAAAUGACAACAAUCAGUUCGUAGCCGCUAACGACAACUCUGUUGUUGAAGGCGAUGUUCGUAAAGCUGCCUAAUUGGUGCUUUCGAUGCUACAUUUGAAUCCCUGACCUCUAACUAAGGUUAGGUGGGGCUUGGACGGUGCCUCGCAACAGAAACCGUCCAUU